RNAcentral lists this ribosomal RNA (254 nucleotides) under uncultured bacterium. RNAcentral's name for it is "partial 16S ribosomal RNA". It matches the Rfam family "Bacterial small subunit ribosomal RNA", at positions 524 to 776 of the family's 1533-position model. The record is from RNAcentral.
GACAGAGGGGGCAAGCGUUGUUCGGAUUUACUGGGCGUAAAGGGCGCGUAGGCGGCGCGUAAAGUCGGACAUGAAAUCAUUAGGCUCAACCUAAUGGCUGUGUCCGAUACUUACGUGCUUGGAGUGCGGGAGAGGCAGCCGGAAUUCUCGGUGUAGCGGUGAAAUGCGUAGAUAUCGAGAGGAACACCGGUGACGAAGGUGGGUUGCUGGACCGACACUGACGCUGAGGCGCGAAAGCUAGGGGAGCAAACCGG